CCCGUAUAAGGACGCAUCAUUUUGACACGGGGUUACGUAUAGAUGAUCAAUCACAGCAAUCUUACAUAAAGUAUGGUACCGUUAAGUUUGGUACCAUCACAUUGUAAAUUGCCGGACUUGCGUUCUUUUAUAACUAGGUAAGUCGAACGAUAACAACAUUGUUCCUCGGAUUACUCAGGAACCAAAUGAAACAUAUAUAAAGCUAAAAGCUUGAUGGGGGAAAUAGCAUCUAAAUCAAACAGAUUGUUCAUCACUCUCGUAGAUUUUCUCCGAACCGGAAAAGAAGCUAGUUGUAAAAUAUGCCGAACUCGUACUUGCACUUAUCAAAAACUGAGCAAUUAAUCAAUGUCAAUCUAUCUAGCUGCAAUCACUUGCUAUUAAUCAAACUUAAUUAGCACUAAUCCACAAGAAAUCAACAGAUUAGGGUUUUUAAUUUAUUAAAUUUCAUAAAUAAACCUGUUGCUCCUCAUUGUACUUUUAUCCUCCGGGGCUGCCUCUCCUUCUCAGUAGCUAAUCUGUACAUCCAAUACACCUAUCACGAUGAAAGAUCAGAUUUUAGACAGUAAUUAAAGCGAAAAAUCAAGAACAUGAAGGAAAUUAGAGAGUACCAGAGCGAGGACGUGAGCUACUAUUAGGAGAACCACCACGAACGGCACCGAUUCGAGGAACCAUGGCCGCAGAGACGCCGGCUGCGGAUUCGCCAUUCGAUGGAAACAGGGAGGUUUUAGAGAGAGAUAGAUGGGAGAAAGAGAUGGAGA
RNAcentral lists this long non-coding RNA (758 nucleotides) under Malus domestica (apple). RNAcentral describes it as "long non-coding RNA (MDOM_LNC014460)". Lineage: Eukaryota; Viridiplantae; Streptophyta; Magnoliopsida; Rosales; Rosaceae. The record is from RNAcentral.